CCUACGGGGGGCAGCAGUGAGGAAUAUUGGUCAAUGGACGAGAGUCUGAACCAGCCAAGUCGCGUGAAGGAUGACUGCCCUAUGGGUUGUAAACUUCUUUUAUAUGGGAAUAAAAUGUUCCACGUGUGGGAUUUUGUAUGUACCAUAUGAAUAAGGAUCGGCUAACUCCGUGCCAGCAGCCGCGGUAAUACGGAGGAUCCGAGCGUUAUCCGGAUUUAUUGGGUUUAAAGGGAGCGUAGGUGGAUUGUUAAGUCAGUUGUGAAAGUUUGCGGCUCAACCGUAAAAUUGCAGUUGAAACUGGCAGUCUUGAGUACAGUAGAGGUGGGCGGAAUGCGUGGUGUAGCGGUGAAAUGCUUAGAUAUCACGAAGAACACCGAUUGCGAAGGCAGCUCACUGGACUGCAACUGACACUGAGGCUCGAAAGUGUGGGGAUCAAACAGGAUUAGAUACCCUAGUAGUC
RNAcentral lists this ribosomal RNA (460 nucleotides) under uncultured bacterium. RNAcentral's name for it is "partial 16S ribosomal RNA". It matches the Rfam family "Bacterial small subunit ribosomal RNA", at positions 338 to 795 of the family's 1533-position model. The record is from RNAcentral.